UAGACACUUACGGUCCAACUCUGAACAAAGCACUCAACUUCAGUUUCGACCCAGUGAUUCGUCUGACAAACAAAGAACUUCACGUCCUGCAGGACCAGGCAUGGAUCCAAGCUGGCGAGACAUUCAAUGACGCCAUCUUCAAAGAUGAAUCAACCGUGGCCUUUGAGCAAUUUGCUCAAAGUUGCAACAGGGAAAAAAAGGAAGAAGAUCAAGCAGGCCGAAACGCAAGCAUCCCCUCAACCUCCAUGUGUGGGGGGCAAUUUCUCAACAGGGACCAGGCCCAUAUUUGAUUUUUGAUGGUAUCAUGUUGAUGAAGAACUGUUAGGGCCAAAUUGGGGGAUUUUCACACGUACAGCAGCUGGGCUAUGAAGAAUUGCGUGUCAAUUCAUAAACCAUGUGCCAUGGAAUCUCCUCCCAACUAUUUUGCAAACUAUAUGGCUCUCCGACACUUUGUGGUUGCAUGAGGUCUUGUGUUAGAAAUGUACUGAAGUCAAAUAAUUCAGUCGCACUGAAGUCUAACAAAACAGCCCCCAAUCUUUUUAUCAUCAAUUUCUCUCAGCCAAUCAUCAGUCAUUUGUG
Long non-coding RNA from Salvelinus sp. IW2-2015, 579 nucleotides. RefSeq lists it as uncharacterized. The record is from RefSeq and is a predicted model, not a curated record. NCBI's taxonomy places the organism in Eukaryota, Metazoa, Chordata, Actinopteri, Salmoniformes, Salmonidae.